This is an RNA transcript of Cebus imitator (Panamanian white-faced capuchin), 605 nucleotides long. It is a transcript of the gene named microsomal glutathione S-transferase 3-like, with no coding region annotated. Lineage: Eukaryota; Metazoa; Chordata; Mammalia; Primates; Cebidae. The transcript has a single exon. The record is from RefSeq and is a predicted model, not a curated record.
GUUUUGUUUUGCACCAGCCAUUCGUAGGUAAUCCAGACACGAGAUGGCUGUCCUCUCUAAGGAAUAUGGUUUCGUGCUUCUAACUGGUGCUGCCAGCUUUAUCAUGGUGGCUCACCUAGCCAUCAAUGUUUCCAAGGCCCGCAAGAAGUACAAAGUGGAGUAUCCUACCAUGUACAGCACGGACCAUGAAAAUGGGCACCUAUUCAACUGCAUUCAGCGAGCCCACCAGAACACGUUGGAAGUGUAUCCUCCCUUCUUAUUUUUUCUUGCUGUUGGAGGUGUUUACCACCCGCAUAUAGCGUCUGGCUUGGGCUUGGCCUGAAUUGUUGGACGAGUUCUUUAUGCUUAUGGCUAUUACACGGGAGACCCCAGCAAGCGUAGUCAAGGAGCCCUGGGGUCCAUCGACCUCCUGGGUUUGAUGGGCACAACCGUGUGUUCUGCUUUCCAGCAUCUUGGUUGGGUUAAAAGUGGCUUGGGCAGUGGAUCCAAAUGCUGCCAUUAAAGAUUAUAGGGUUUUCAAAAUUCUCAUUCAAAUGACUUACCUUUAUUUCCAGUUAUAUAUUUUUCCUAAAUAUAAUAAGCUUACCUGGCGUCUGCCUCAUACC